Molecule: ribosomal RNA, 436 nt
Filed under: uncultured bacterium
Lineage: Bacteria
Description: partial 16S ribosomal RNA
Rfam family: Bacterial small subunit ribosomal RNA
Source: RNAcentral
AGCGAACGCUGGCGGCAGGCUUAACACAUGCAAGUCGAGCGGGCAUCCUUGUGGUGUCAGCGGCAGACGGGUGAGUAACGCGUGGGAACGUGCCCUUCGGUUCGGAAUAACUCAGGGAAACUUGAGCUAAUACCGGAUACGUGCGAGAGCAGAAAGGUUUAUCUGCCGAAGGAUCGGCCCGCGUCUGAUUAGCUAGUUGGUGAGGUUAUGGCUCACCAAGGCGACGAUCAGUAGCUGGUCUGAGAGGAUGAUCAGCCACACUGGGACUGAGACACGGCCCAGACUCCGACGGGAGGCAGCAGUGGGGAAUAUUGGACAAUGGGGGCAACCCUGAUCCAGCCAUGCCGCGGGAGUGAUGACGGCCUUAGGGUUGUAAAGCUCUUUUCUUCGGGACGAUAAUGACGGUACCGGAGGAAUAAGCCCCGGCUAACUUCGU